GGCAGAAUAGCUCAGUUGUUAGAGCAUCUCACAUGACAUGAGAAAGUCGCAGGUUCAAAUCCUGCUUCAGCCA
Molecule: non-coding RNA, 73 nt
Organism: Favolaschia claudopus
Lineage: Eukaryota; Fungi; Basidiomycota; Agaricomycetes; Agaricales; Mycenaceae
Source: the annotation of a GenBank genome assembly